This 396-nucleotide ribosomal RNA is filed under the name Platanista gangetica (Ganges River dolphin). RNAcentral's name for it is "partial 12S ribosomal RNA". It matches the Rfam family "Bacterial small subunit ribosomal RNA", at positions 852 to 1399 of the family's 1533-position model. The record is from RNAcentral. Lineage: Eukaryota; Metazoa; Chordata; Mammalia; Artiodactyla; Platanistidae.
UCANAANACANGRUNAKUCGCCAGAGUACUACUAGCAACAGCUUAAAACUCAAAGGACUUGGCGGUGCUUCAUAUCCCUCUAGAGGAGCCUGUUCUAUAAUCGAUAAACCCCGAUCAACCUCACCAACCCUUGCUACUUCAGUCUAUAUACCGCCAUCUUCAGCAAACCCCAGUAAGGGAACGACAGUAAGCACAACUACUUUACGUAAAAACGUUAGGUCAAGGUGUAACCUAUGGGAUGGGAAGAAAUGGGCUACAUUUUCUACACUAAGAAUACCCUUUAUACCUAAACGAAAGUUUUUAUGAAAUAUAAAAACCAAAGGAGGAUUUAGCAGUAAAUUAAGAAUANAGCGCUUAAUUGAAUAAGGCCAUGAAGCACGCACACACCGNCCGUCA